UACGGAGGGGGCUAGCGUUGUUCGGAAUUACUGGGCGUAAAGCGCACGUAGGCGGCUUUGUAAGUUAGAGGUGAAAGCCCGGAGCUCAACUCCGGAACUGCCUUUAAGACUGCAUCGCUAGAACGAUGGAGAGGUGAGUGGAAUUCCGAGUGUAGAGGUGAAAUUCGUAGAUAUUCGGAAGAACACCAGUGGCGAAGGCGACUCACUGGACAUCUGUUGACGCUGAGGUGCGAAAGCGUGGGGAGCAAACAGG
RNAcentral lists this ribosomal RNA (253 nucleotides) under uncultured bacterium. Its description in RNAcentral is "partial 16S ribosomal RNA". It matches the Rfam family "Bacterial small subunit ribosomal RNA", at positions 524 to 776 of the family's 1533-position model. The record is from RNAcentral.